CAGCACAGGAGAGCUUGCUCUCUGGGUGGCGAGUGGCGGACGGGUGAGGAACACAUCGGAAUCUACUCUGUCGUGGGGGAUAACGUAGGGAAACUUACGCUAAUACCGCAUACGACCUACGGGUGAAAGUGGGGGACCGCAAGGCCUCACGCGAUUGAAUGAGCCGAUGUCGGAUUAGCUAGUUGGCGGGGUAAAGGCCCACCAAGGCGACGAUCCGUAGCUGGUCUGAGAGGAUGAUCAGCCACACUGGAACUGAGACACGGUCCAGACUCCUACGGGAGGCAGCAGUGGGGAAUAUUGGACAAUGGGCGCAAGCCUGAUCCAGCCAUACCGCGUGGGUGAAGAAGGCCUUCGGGUUGUAAAGCCCUUUUGUUGGGAAAGAAAUCCUGUUGGUUAAUACUCGACAGGGAUGACGGUACCCAAAGAAUAAGCACCGGCUAACUUCGUGCCAGCAGCCGCGGUAAUACGAAGGGUGCAAGCGUUACUCGGAAUUACUGGGCGUAAAGCGUGCGUAGGUGGUGGUUUAAGUCUGUUGUGAAAGCCCUGGGCUCAACCUGGGAAUUGCAGUGGAUACUGGAUCACUAGAGUGUGGUAGAGGGAUGCGGAAUUUCCGGUGUAGCAGUGAAAUGCGUAGAGAUCGGAAGGAACAUCUGUGGCGAAGGCGGCAUCCUGGGCCAACACUGACACUGAGGCACGAAAGCGUGGGGAGCAAACAGGAUUAGAUACCCUGGUAGUCCACGCCCUAAACGAUGCGAACUGGAUGUUGGGUUCAACUUGGAACCCAGUAUCGAAGCUAACGCGUUAAGUUCGCCGCCUGGGGAGUACGGUCGCAAGACUGAAACUCAAAGGAAUUGACGGGGGCCCGCACAAGCGGUGGAGUAUGUGGUUUAAUUCGAUGCAACGCGAAGAACCUUACCUGGUCUUGACAUCCACGGAACUUUCUAGAGAUAGAUUGGUGCCUUCGGGAACCGUGAGACAGGUGCUGCAUGGCUGUCGUCAGCUCGUGGCGUGAGAUGUUGGGUUAAGUCCCGCAACGAGCGCAACCCUUGUCCUU
RNAcentral lists this ribosomal RNA (1054 nucleotides) under Pseudoxanthomonas sp. Its description in RNAcentral is "bacterial SSU rRNA". It matches the Rfam family "Bacterial small subunit ribosomal RNA", at positions 67 to 1112 of the family's 1533-position model. The record is from RNAcentral. Lineage: Bacteria; Pseudomonadati; Pseudomonadota; Gammaproteobacteria; Lysobacterales; Lysobacteraceae.